RNAcentral lists this non-coding RNA (25 nucleotides) under Mus musculus (house mouse). Lineage: Eukaryota; Metazoa; Chordata; Mammalia; Rodentia; Muridae. The record is from RNAcentral.
UGUUGACUUAAAAAUUGCCGGGCUG